This 253-nucleotide ribosomal RNA is filed under the name uncultured bacterium. RNAcentral describes it as "partial 16S ribosomal RNA". It matches the Rfam family "Bacterial small subunit ribosomal RNA", at positions 524 to 776 of the family's 1533-position model. The record is from RNAcentral.
UACGUAGGCAGCAAGCGUUGUUCGGAGUUACUGGGCGUAAAGGGUGUGUAGGCGGUUUUCUAAGUCAGGGGUGAAAUCCCGGGGCUCAACCCCGAAACUGCACUUGAUACUGCGGUGCUUGAGUACUGGAGAGGAGAUUGGAAUUUACGGUGUAGCAGUGAAGUGCGUAGAUAUCGUAAGGAAGACCAGUGGCGAAGGCGAAUCUCUGGACAGUUACUGACACUGAGGCACGAAGGCCAGGGGAGCAAACGGG